Molecule: long non-coding RNA, 302 nt
Organism: Apis mellifera (honey bee)
Lineage: Eukaryota; Metazoa; Arthropoda; Insecta; Hymenoptera; Apidae
Exons: 2
Source: RefSeq, a predicted model, not a curated record
ACCUGUUAGAAAGGUUGUUCGAGAUAUGAGACAGAUCUUGUGCAAAAGUAAUCGAUUUCGAAGAAAAAAUAAUAUUGCAAUGUGUCAUUCUUGUAAAUAUAAGUAAAAAUAUAUACUUAUUUAACGAUGGAAAACUUAUGAAUCUCAAGAAUUCAUAAAAUGACGAAUUAAUUACAUCAAUUUUCCACGAAUAAUACGCAUAAUAUUAUAUAUUACGUUUUAUUUCAUCUUUAACUAAAUAUAUUAGUAUGUCUAAUUGUUGUUAAUAUUCUAAAAUAUAUGCUCAAUUAUUGUUUACCUUA